UUUUUCCCCCAGACUGAGUGAAUGCUACAAACCAGCCAACUGACACAUCUCAGUUCUUCUCUACCCUCAAAGGAAAAUCUAAAUUAAAGAUGCAGUAUCCUGUCUCCACCCUGGCCAGGAAAGCAGAUGCCAGACAGAACCUACAAACAGGAACUUGCUUCAUUAUAUUUCUUCAAACCUGAUUUAUCCUUGAAGCUAAAACCAAGCCUGAAAAAUCCAACUGGAAUUCAGAGCGAAUUUUGCCUCAGAGCACAGAAUAAACCACCAUGAUGUUCCAAUAUGCUAAUGUAUCAACAAUGAUGAAUACUUAAGGGAUUGAUUGCAUCC
Molecule: long non-coding RNA, 327 nt
Organism: Corvus hawaiiensis (hawaiian crow)
Lineage: Eukaryota; Metazoa; Chordata; Aves; Passeriformes; Corvidae
Exons: 2
Source: RefSeq, a predicted model, not a curated record